Molecule: non-coding RNA, 2758 nt
Organism: Camellia sinensis
Lineage: Eukaryota; Viridiplantae; Streptophyta; Magnoliopsida; Ericales; Theaceae
Source: RefSeq, a predicted model, not a curated record
AACGCAUGUAGGUAUAAAGUAAGCAUGUUGACUGCCUGUUUUAUUUUGCAAAUAUCUUCAAAAGUUAUUGAGGUCUGAAAAUGUAGGCGUAAUUAAAGUUAUUUAUUUCAGUUUCUGUUGGAUUUGGGUUGAAAUGGCUUUGCUCAUGAUGAGAUGAAGGUGUUCUACUUGCUUAGGUUGAGGCAUGGUUUUACACACAAACACACUGAAGUUUGAUGCUAUUUUUACUGUAACUUGAAGGGUAUACUUGUGCUUUUUUUUUUUUUCUUUUUUUUUUCCUAGACCUAAAAAUUUUGAACUGAUCAUGGAAAAAUGGUUUGAGAGGCAAAUGACAAUAUAGUACAGAAUUAAAAUCAUUGUAAAUUUUCAGCUUCUAUAUCCAGAUAGAUAUUGAUCUCUUUAUGUUAACAGACGGUGAAGUUGUAACUCCCACUAUGUUCUGCUAAUUGUUCAUGAGGUAAGGUAUAGAUGACAUAUUUUCUGGAAUUUCCUGUGUCUGCCCGUCCCAUCUUUACACUGCACUCCUUUUUCCCCCUUUCUUUUUCAUUUUUUGUUGCAUAAGUGAAUUGCUUUAAGAAUAAUUAUUAAGAAGGUUUCGAGUACUGGAGAAAAUGGAUCCAUGUAGUUGAUUCUUAAGUAAUUUGAACCAAGCCUUGUUGAGUUGAGUUGAUCUGUCAUGCACCUAUUCUUAUUUUUCACAAUUCCUUCCAUUUUGAGGUGGUUUAGGAUAUAGGAUUUUUGGCUAAAAAAGCCAAAACACCAAAACCGUUGGGGUGCAUCAAAAAAAUCUGGCUAUACCAGUGUAAAAAAACCAAUGUACUCUCAUAUAUACUUUUUUUCAGACAGUUAAAACAAUGGUAAAAUGGUAAUUUUAGGCAAAAAGCCAAAAUAUCACAUCAGCCUUUUACAUUUUUCCAUACAACUAAAAAGUCCAUUCCCAUAAUUGUUUUUCACCUCAUAAUAAAAAAGCUAAAAAGCCACUAAAAAAUCCAAACCCCAAACACCCACUUUUGUGUCCUCAAUUAUUGGCUGUUCAACUCUUCUCAUGAUGCAUUCUUCAUUUUUUGUUGUCUAUUUUUAUUUCAUUAGUCGUUAUUUCAGCUUUAAGAGAAUUAAGCCUUGUUUUGUUUGUCUCUUGAGAGACAAUUUUUGAGAAAAAAUUUCGUUCGAAAUCACUUCUCUUUACUACAUAUUAAUCAAUCACUUUUUCUCUCUCUUCUCUCUUCACAUUCUAUACAUCAAUCAAUCAUUUUUCUUCAUACUUUUCUAUUCAACUAUCCAAAAUUCCAAAACUCCAAAAUUAUUUUCAAAACAUACAAAAAAUUUGUAAACUCUUUUUAGAAAAUUAUUUUUCAAAAUUGUUUCACAAAUACAAACCAAACAUGGCCUUAAUGUCUCCCUGUUGAAUUUUGCCGACUUGCUUUAGUGCUCUGAUUAUAUUUGGUGAGAACAAGUUUUCUAGUUAGAUAUAAGUUUCCGAACUGGGUUACACAUUUAGACUAGAUGUGUCUUUGUCAAAACCAUUCCAAGGAUUCUCCAAAUGCUUUUGCUUUGUUUGGUGUUUAUUUGUUUGAGGGAAUGGAUGAGGAAAGUGGAAGGAAGGAAAAGAAAAAUCAAAUUAGAGACUCCAAAUUCCUUGUUUAUGUUUGGUUAGAGCAACUCUAAUGGUUAAUGCUAUAAUAGCUCUGCUAAAGUUAUAAUUUGGCAUGCUACAGUAGCAAAAUACCAAAAUGUUGCAAUGUUGCCAUAGGGUAAUGCCAUUUUGGUACAAUGCUAACCAACUUUCCCUCCGUUUUUAGGUGGUGUUUGAGGUUUGUUUUUUUGAGUGAUUUUUUGUUUUUAGUCUUUUGUGAUCUUUUUUAAACUUUUUUUUUUCAAAAAAAAAAAAAUAAUAAAAAAAAAAAUAUUUUUACAUUCUAUGCGACCCAAAAUGUUUUUUAAAAAUUAAAAUAUUGAAAAAAAUUUAGAUCUUUCUAUUCACCCACCAUUUACAUGCCAUUAAAAAAAUGGGCAAAUUAUAAAUUACCAAUAGGUUCUACUUUUGGGAAUUAUUACCCAUUAAGUCCUAUUGGUAAAUUUAUUAGUCUAUCUUGUUUUUAUGAAUAAAUUUACAGUGAUAAAUUUAUUAAUAGGAUUUAAUGGGUAAUAAAUCUUAAAAGUAGGACUUAUUGGUAAGUACCCUUAAAAAUUUGAAAAAAAAUAUUAACUCUCAUUCUCAUAUACUAUUAUGAUCUAUUAAAACCCACCAUUUUUGAAUACAUACCUAUCACCCACUGGGUAGGUAUGUUUUCAAGAAUGGUAGGUUUCAAUACAUCAGAAUAGCAGUGUUCAUGGGUCAGUUUGGCAAUAAAUUUAGAACUAAUUCAAUCAUAGUUUUUGAACCCAUAACUAAACCAAUGAUGCACUAGAACCAAUCUAACCCAAUUCAAUGUAGCUCGGGUUAUAACUACGGUUCCACUAUAUUAAAAAUAAGUGAAUUAAUCAAUAAUAAAUAAUUAAAAAUAAAUAAGUCUUUAACAUUUAAACAUAACACAAAUAAAGAGUAAAAUAUUGUUUAAUGCAAACUAAUACAAAUUAAAUCCAACUAAAGCUUAAACAUAACCAAUACACAAUAAAUCCAUUAGUACAAAUUAGAUCAAUUUUGAAAUCUAACUCAAUCUUCCAGGACUAACUUUGUUCAUCUAAUAAUUUUUGUAUGUUGGAAAUUAUUAGGUGCAAUCACGUUCAUUGUAAUAGACCAAUUAUGUGAAGACAUUAA